GACGAACGCUGGCGGCGUGCCUAAUACAUGCAAGUAGAACGCACAGUUUAUACCGUAGCUUGCUACACCAUAGACUGUGAGUUGCGAACGGGUGAGUAACGCGUAGGUAACCUGCCUGGUAGCGGGGGAUAACUAUUGGAAACGAUAGCUAAUACCGCAUAAUAUUGAUUAUUGCAUGAUAAUUAAUUGAAAGGUGCAAUUGCACCACUACCAGAUGGACCUGCGUUGUAUUAGCUAGUAGGUGAGGUAACGGCUCACCUAGGCGACGAUACAUAGCCGACCUGAGAGGGUGAUCGGCCACACUGGGACUGAGACACGGCCCAGACUCCUACGGGAGGCAGCAGUAGGGAAUCUUCGGCAAUGGAUGAAAGUCUGACCGAGCAACGCCGCGUGAGUGAAGAAGGUUUUCGGAUCGUAAAGCUCUGUUGUAAGAGAAGAACGGGUGUGAGAGUGGAAAGUUCACACUGUGACGGUAUCUUACCAGAAAGGGACGGCUAACUACGUG
This 505-nucleotide ribosomal RNA is filed under the name uncultured bacterium. RNAcentral's name for it is "partial 16S ribosomal RNA". It matches the Rfam family "Bacterial small subunit ribosomal RNA", at positions 28 to 507 of the family's 1533-position model. The record is from RNAcentral.